Molecule: non-coding RNA, 5507 nt
Organism: Coturnix japonica (Japanese quail)
Lineage: Eukaryota; Metazoa; Chordata; Aves; Galliformes; Phasianidae
Source: RefSeq, a predicted model, not a curated record
AAAAAAGGGAAAAAGAAGAAGAAAAGAAGAGCCGGGAGGGAGGAUAGGUUGUUCAGUUUACUACUGGAGACCUGACUGUGACAGCGCGUCGGGAAAACAUCAUUUGCAAGGGAGGAAGGAAUUGCUGCGGCAGCAUCUCCGUGUCUCUCCUAUUUCUCUUUAGAGUUACAUAGGAUAACUUGGCCAGAACUUACUGAUGCCUGCACGGUCAGCGGAGCCGGGAAUGGGAAAUGCAGGAAGGCACUCUGUGGCAGGAGCAGAAGAGGAAGCAUUACAAAGAUCCUGCAGGUGACCGAGGUGAUCUGUUGCCAGAAUAAAUAAAUUUCAGGAAGUGCCAAGGCUGCUCAGCCAUUUACUGUGAUAUCACUCCUACAUAAGGAACUUGUAUCACCAGCUUUCUUCAAGUAUCUUCUCUAUUAUGAUGACACGUAGGUUGAAUUCAAAAGUGCAGGAAAAGAGCUCUGUCUGCAAAAGGAUCCUGCACUCCGGAGGGUUUGCUCUAAACUAUUGUGAGACCUCCGGCUACAACACAGGACAUGGGAGCUUUUCUGAACCCUCGUGUCUUGUGUUGCAGCCAGAGGGGCACAUCUUUACAACCGAGUCUGAGACAAGUAGAAGAAACCAUCAUGAGAGAGGUGUAAAUAGAGAAUGAGAAACGGGUGCAGGACUUCACUGAACAUCUGAGAGAAGCAGACUCAGGAAUGUGAUCCAUGCCAUUAGCUUAUGGAGCUCCCAAAUCCAGAGGAGAUGUCAGAUUUCUGCCAGUUCUUGAAUGCAGAUUGAGAGAUCUGAAUCAGGUAGUAAAAGUUACUGUGCUUAUAAUGCCACGGGCACUGGUCUUUUUUUGUUUUUUGCUUUCUGAAAAUUUGACUAGAGUCGCUGAAUUAAACUCUAGAUGCUUCGCAAGUAUUUAAUGAUCUGUCCAUUUGAGACUCAGCGCUUUUGUUCCUGUUUUUCAGCAGCUGUAAGCAUGAACUUUUAGGAGGAAUAGAAUUAAGCAGCCUCAAGUACUUAGAGGAGAGGACAUGCCUAUGAUUAACACUGACAUUUUUUGUUUCUCACUGGGACAAAUAUUUCCCUUCUUCAAGAUCUGACUUCAGGGCGAACCUCAGUUUGAGGAGGUGCUCAUGAGCCCUUGAGAGAAUGCAUGAACCCUUUGGUUUCACUUAACUUUGUCAUUUGCUCAAUACAGUGCAUGCCAGUCUGUUCCAUCUAAUCAAUUAUUAAAGCAUACUCAGCUGAAAUCUUCUUUCUUAUUACUUCAUUAGACUGGAUAAACUAGUAUAUAAGCUUAAAUAUCUGCAUUAAAUAAAAAAAAAAAAAAAGUAUAUCCCACUGAAAUGCCCAUAAGGUGACUCUGGAUUCGUAUUCUGAGUUGUUGAAAUGGGUGAUUAGAAAUGCCCUAGUUCUAGUCCUCCAAUUUUCUACAUCUUGUAGAAACUGGAAAUGUAUGUCUCAUCAUUUGAAAACAACCAUGGCUGAGUUUUUGGGAUAAGGUCUGAAAAGUUGAGAUUACAGUUCCAAACUGUCAGUGAACUUUCAGGUGCUGCCCUGUUCCGUAUUCACAGGUUUCAUUGGCAGUACGCACUAAACACGUCUCUUCUCAAAGGAUUAAAGCCAGCAGAAGCUGAUCCCUGGGUAUUGUCACAAGAGUGAUUGUUUUUGAAGAUUCUCUUACCUGAUAAAGAUUGUGUCUUGGCAGUCAGAUUUAGAUUGCUAUUUCCCAUGAGCAAAUUAAAAAAGAAAAAAAAAAAAAAUAAAGCAGUUAUAUGAAAGGUAAAUAAUAAAUAUUCUCACCUUCACUUCUGCUUGACUUUUGUGAUCAGGCUCAGUUUACUGCAGUCUGUGUAGCUAUCAUUUAAAUGAGAGCACUUUCACUUAGCAAGCAUCUGUCUGACACAGUGCUGCUGACUUAGUUUUCAAUGCCAUUUACAGUGUUCUGUGUCUUCUCCUGAUCUUUAGUGCCAGUCAGUGGAAAGUAUUUGCAAAGUAAUCCCUGGGAUACAGAUCCUCCAGAGCCACCCCCUGCCCCACUGGGUUGAAAAGCCCAUUAGUCACCUCCAUAUCUUUCAAUCCUGGGAGCAUAAAAACUGAUAUUUGAAAACUCUCACUAGAGAAUCUCAGCCUUUCAAUACCCCCAAAUACAAGUCAAGGUCAGAUGUUUUCUGAAGAAAAAGGGAGUGAGGAAAACUUCCCAGUCUCGGAGGUCUCCAAGCAGAGAAAGCUUGAAGAGGAAGCUCUUGUAUAGAACCUUGGAAGUCUGGCUACAUAUCUCUGCAGUUCCACUGGCUUCGUAGAGCUACACCAGUUCACUCCAGGCUAAGCAUUUCACCUGUGAUUUUCCUGGUUUUAAAGUAUCCCAUGUGGGCCAGAAAAAUUCCAAGAGUUUCUGAACUACUCAAAUUCAAGGAUGUAGGUUGGAGGUGGGGAGAGUUCAGUGUUCUGUAUUCAGAAUCUUUCCUUCCUAUUGCAUACGUGAUGCUUUGCACUAGAAACACAAAGCAAAUUGUUUGUCAGAAAAAUAACAUUGAUACUAUGGGAAAGAGGACAUUUUUUCCCUGGUAUUUACCAGCUCAAUUGUACCAGUGGAGGAGAUUUUUGCAAGCAGUUAGCCAUCAGACUGUAGUCAAACCCCUAGUUUAAAGGAACAAAAAAACAGCAGUUAAGUAUAGUUUAAUUUUUUUUCCCAGGAAGUAUUGUUAUUAUAAACUAUAAUUAGUGGUUUUAACCCAGCAGUAUUUCAUUUCUCUUAAAGGAAAAACAGGUUUCUAGCUGAGCAUCUUUGUUAGAGCUGUCAGUGUCUGCAUUCAUAAAACGAAAAGAGCUGCGAUCGAAAAUGGGUAAUUUCUUGACAGUUUAGGUGCACACCCUGCCAAUCAGGAAAGCCUAGGCCUCCUAAUGAUAUUAAAAUAACUGAAAAUGGAAUUUUGUCAAACAUUCAGGUGUUUUUCAGAGGACUCAUUUGCUCAAGUGAGAAGUUUAUUUGUUGGCGGUGGCUGAAUACUUAAUUACAGUAGCUGCGCUAAAUAUCAUUGCUGGCGCUUGAGAUAUAUUUAGAUUCAGCUCCCUCUGUCUCAGAAAACACAGCAAUUAAAAUGCAGCACUGUAACUUAAUGUAACUGAUAAUAGGUAUAGGGAUAAGGAAGGCUCGAGAUGUUGCCAAAUGUGCUAUGGAAACCAUAGACGAAGCAUGAAAACAGUGGUAACUUUUUCUGCCUCUGUAAGUCAAAGCCCUUACUCCAUCAACGCUGGACACAGCAACAUGGGGAUUUUCAAGGCAGUGUAGAGACAACAGGUGUCUUUGACAGCAGUGGUCAUGACAGCAUUAGUCUUACAGCCUGUGAGUUACCUGCUUCACAAGACUCACCUCAAAUAAUGAACUGAAGCUUAGUCCUCAAGGGACCUAUGGCAUACCUUUAAAAGGCUAUCUAUCUGUCUUUUCUCUCCUGACCUUCCACAUGGGUUACACACAAUGUAUCCUGAACCUGACCAUAGGAUUCUCAACUGGCCUGGUUUCUUGUACGACUCAGCAGAAGUUGACACAAUCCUCAUGUCUCCCUGUAAGGGCUCUGAUUCCCUCUUACAUUCCCAGAUGGUGACAGAGAAGAACACACCAUGUGGAGCACUAAAUCUAAAAGCUCAUCCCAAGCGUGCCAGAACCUCAAGUUGUUGAACCCAAUUAAGGCUUGGAUCAUAAGACAGUCCCAGAAGAGAGCACAUAGCAGAAUGCAAGCUCUGAUGCAUCAAUUGUGGCUGUAUUUUUAAUUCUGUUACGUCAUGUGAAGAAAAUCGGGCACAACACAUCUUGAAGGACUAAGUGGGAAGGCAGUAUCUGCUUGGCACAUACUGUUUGACUUUGCUGGAGGAGACCUGAGUUGUGGAAAAAAGCCUUCAUUUUUACGGGCUCUGGACUUCCCAGGAGUUGCAUUAACCUUGAAAAAGAGAUGUAAUAAAGAAGUAUCCUCGUCCUCAUUUAAGCUCUACUUAUGCUUUGCAAGUCACACACAGUUCACUGAAAGAGUUUCUCCGUCACUCUUCAAAUGAUGAACUUAUUGAUUGUCAGAGUUCCACACCGACAGUGUGAAGAACUGACUUACCCUGGUGAUCCAUAAAGCAGCAGCAGUGGAUAUGUUCGUCCAGAAAGUGAGUUGCUUGGAAAGCAGAGAGGUUAGCUGUAUUUGCAGGCGGAUUCAUCCUGUGAUCACUUCGUAGAGUGCUAACAAGAGUGGCAAUUUAUUCGUACCACAAGGAAAAAUUCUUAUCUUUCAUUCACAGCACCAUUCUUAAAAGCUCCUUCCUUUUCAGUGUGUUUUUAAAUUGAAUUAUUGCAUGUAUGUUGUACGUGCUUUUAUUUUCACUGAGAAUUUAAUUGACUAAAACUUCGCUUUCAACUGAAAAAGACGGAUUUGCUGGAAGCAUAGUAAUCCACGCACCAUUAGGCUUGGUUACAGUCAGGAAAGAGCAGUAAAAAUGUCACCUCUUAGCUCAGGUCAGCUUCCUGAGAAGAUCACAGGUGGUGUUUAUUCACUAUACUGACUAAAAUAAAUUUUAUUUCUCUCAGUUGUGAGAACAAUGCAGUUAAUGGAGAUAGGGGAGGGCUUCAGGUGGCAUCCUACAUAUUCAGAAGAAAUGAAUUUUAUCCUUUAAUGAAGAAUACCUUUCAGUAAUCACAAUACAGGGGAAACAUCCAUUAAGAACCCUGGGUGAAUUUCCAGUCUCCAGAAAAAGGAGGUGUCCUGCAAAGUGAACCAAGGCAGAGGGGAACCAUGGUACCAGCAGGUACCAGCAUAGGUACCUGUCAGGGUCCUUGGGUGAGCAGGGUCAUCCAAUGAUGUUUUCCCUGUAAAAAAAAGGGAGCAGCAGCAGGGUGAUGACAGGGAUUUCCUCUGUGGUGCCAGUGGUGCAUCUUUCCCUUGUUAUUGCAGUGUCAGAGAAGAACUGGAUGUGGAGUGCCAAACCGAUACUGUGGGUCACGCAGUAUGGCUGGAGCAGGAGGGAGACAUGCUGGAACUUGGGUAUUCUGCUCAUAGGAGUGGGCAGCAGUGCUCAGGAAAUACUGCAGUGCACUGAGAUGGGCAGAAGGGGGGGGGUGGUUCCCAGACCCACAGCUCACAGACCCACAUACAUGCCCUCCUUCUCCAGGAGGCUUUGUAGUUAGUGCAUCUACCAAGGUGCUCUUUUGGUAUUGUCUUUAUGAUUGUUUCAGAUGCUUUUGAUCCUCAACAUCUGAGGCAGAAAUGCAAAACCACACUCUAUUAUAAUUAGAGAAAGUGAUGGAGUUAUUUUGAAUUCUAAAGCCAUGACAUUCAAAAAAAAUAAAAAUAAAAAUCAGGAGAGUGGUGCAGAAAAGGAGAGGUGUGCUCAGGUAUACAGGUAUACUCUCCAAAUUAUAGACUGAGUGGAAAGAACUACACAUUUGGAAUAUGAUGCUACAGAGACCUGGUACCCUCAUGUUCAACCUGAGCAACUACAUCAACUUCUGCUGAGCCUCCUGUUGGCAAUGGGUU